AUUGAACGCUGGCGGCAUGCCUUACACAUGCAAGUCGAACGGCAGCGCGGGAGCAAUCCUGGCGGCGAGUGGCGAACGGGUGAGUAAUACAUCGGAACGUGCCCAAUCGUGGGGGAUAACGCAGCGAAAGCUGUGCUAAUACCGCAUACGAUCUACGGAUGAAAGCAGGGGAUCGCAAGACCUUGCGCGCAUGGAGCGGCCGAUGGCAGAUUAGGUAGUUGGUGAGGUAAAGGCUCACCAAGCCUUCGAUCUGUAGCUGGUCUGAGAGGACGACCAGCCACACUGGGACUGAGACACGGCCCAGACUCCUACGGGAGGCAGCAGUGGGGAAUUUUGGACAAUGGGCGAAAGCCUGAUCCAGCCAUGCCGCGUGCAGGAUGAAGGCCUUCGGGUUGUAAACUGCUUUUGUACGGAACGAAACGGUCUUUUCUAAUAAAGAAGGGUAAUGACGGUACCGUAAGAAUAAGCACCGGCUAACUACGUG
RNAcentral lists this ribosomal RNA (484 nucleotides) under uncultured bacterium. Its description in RNAcentral is "partial 16S ribosomal RNA". It matches the Rfam family "Bacterial small subunit ribosomal RNA", at positions 30 to 507 of the family's 1533-position model. The record is from RNAcentral.